CCCUACGGGGGGCAGCAGUGGGGGAUAUUGCACAAUGGGGGAAACCCUGAUGCAGCGACGCCGCGUGGGCGAAGAAGUAUUUCGGUAUGUAAAGCCCUAUCAGCAGGGAAGAAGAAAUGGCGGUACCUGAGUAAGAAGCACCGGCUAAAUACGUGCCAGCAGCCGCGGUAAUACGUAUGGUGCAAGCGUUAUCCGGAUUUACUGGGUGUAAAGGGAGCGCAGGCGGCACGGCAAGCCUGAUGUGAAAGCCCGCGGCCCAACCGCGGGACUGCAUUGGGAACUACCGGGCUGGAGUGCCGGAGAGG
Molecule: ribosomal RNA, 305 nt
Filed under: uncultured bacterium
Lineage: Bacteria
Description: bacterial SSU rRNA
Rfam family: Bacterial small subunit ribosomal RNA
Source: RNAcentral